Molecule: ribosomal RNA, 409 nt
Filed under: Bathyarctus formosanus
Lineage: Eukaryota; Metazoa; Arthropoda; Malacostraca; Decapoda; Scyllaridae
Description: partial 12S ribosomal RNA
Source: RNAcentral
GAAACCAGGAUUAGAUACCCUGUUAUACUAGAAGUUAAGAAUGGUUAGUAGUCUUGAGUAGUAGUAAUGAAUUAGUUUAAAAUUCAAAGAGUUUGGCGGUAUUUUAGUCUGGUUAGAGGAACCUGUUUUAUAAACGAUGGGCCGCGUAGUAUCUUUCUUGCUCUAGUUGUAGUUAGUAUACCUUCAUUAUUAGAUAAUUUUAUUUGUUAUAAAAAUUAUUGUAAUUAGUUUUUAUUAAGUAUAUUAGAUCUAGGUGCUGCUGAUGGGCAAGUAAAAAUGGGUUACAAUAAAUUAAAUUUAUUAUGGAUUCGUGUGUGAAAUAAUUUGUGUAUGAAAGAGGAUUUAAUAGUAAUGUGAGUUUAGCAUGCUUGUAUGAGACUAGCUCUAAAAUGUGUACAUAUCGCCCGUC